UGAUCCUGGCUCAGGUUGAACGCUGGCGGCAGGCUUAACACAUGCAAGUCGAGCGGAGAGAGGUAGCUUGCUACUGAUCUUAGCGGCGGACGGGUGAGUAAUACUUAGGAAUCUGGCUAUUAGUGGGGGACAACAUUUCGAAAGGGAUGCUAAUACCGCAUACGUCCUACGGGAGAAAGCAGGGGAUCUUCGGACCUUGCGCUAAUAGAUGAGCCUAAGUCGGAUUAGCUAGUUGGUGGGGUAAAGGCCUACCAAGGCGACGAUCUGUAGCGGGUCUGAGAGGAUGAUCCGCCACACUGGGACUGAGACACGGCCCAGACUCCUACGGGAGGCAGCAGUGGGGAAUAUUGGGACAAUGGG
This 360-nucleotide ribosomal RNA is filed under the name uncultured bacterium. RNAcentral's name for it is "bacterial SSU rRNA". It matches the Rfam family "Bacterial small subunit ribosomal RNA", at positions 14 to 375 of the family's 1533-position model. The record is from RNAcentral.